CUUGACGACCAUAGAGCAUUGGAACAACCUGAUCCCAUCCCGAACUCAGCAGUGAAACGAUGCAUCGCCGAUGGUAGUGUGGGGUUUCCCCAUGUGAGAGUAGGUCAUCGUCAAGA
Molecule: ribosomal RNA, 116 nt
Filed under: Pseudomonas sp. G2-4
Lineage: Bacteria; Pseudomonadati; Pseudomonadota; Gammaproteobacteria; Pseudomonadales; Pseudomonadaceae
Source: RNAcentral